Molecule: long non-coding RNA, 1172 nt
Organism: Sinocyclocheilus grahami
Lineage: Eukaryota; Metazoa; Chordata; Actinopteri; Cypriniformes; Cyprinidae
Source: Ensembl
GACUGUCACAACAACAACACGUGCAGAUCCUGCAGAUGAUUUAGGCUUAAAAGCUGUUAAUGUCACUUUGACAGCACAUCUUUCAGCUCAACUGCAAACAAAACUCGACUCACUGUCUGAUAAAACGAGUGUCACGCGACUCACCUAAUAAAUGAUGUGUUGUUGGUUGUAAACUGGUCCGGCUGAAGCAGAGCUCUGGACGUGUGGACAGACAUUGACUGUAAUGAUGGACAUCUGCUCAGGGACAGAAUAAAUUAUGUGAUGUUGGUUGUAAACUGGUCCGGCUGAAGCAGAGCUCUGGACGUGUGGACAGACAUUGACUGUAAUGAUGGACAUCUGCUCAGGGACAGUCUGUGCAAAAGUAUAACCGCUGCGGGUCACGGUGCUGGAAGCUCCAGGGGGAGACCGUACUGAUAUCCCCCUUCUUCGGGCGCGCCUUCACACACACUCCAGCAUUCACUCAUAUCGCAGAGACCUGGCUGGGAUCAAACCAGCAACCUCUGAACCCGUGAGGCAGUGCUCUUACCUGUGAGCCACAGGUCUCUUGUUGGAGUACAUGAGUACAAGAAGUUUACCUGUGAUUUCCCAGUACAGAAGUUAAAGUAACGUGUGUAUGUGGUGGAGAGAUUUGAACCCAUGUCUCCAUCACAAACUCAUACUCAGAAGACGUGUGUUUAUCCACUAAGCCAUCAUGGAUUUCACGUUGUUUUCUGACGUUUGAGUGACUUUGUUGGCUGUGACCAGUUUAAAGUAAGCAAUAAUGGGAUUCAAACCAGGACUUUUAUAUGUGAGAGUGAAACCUUUUACCACUGAGCCACAGAGAUUGUAGGUUUGUACUUGUUUUUAUUUUUAGGCUUGUUUAGAUUUUAAGUUUAAGUUGAGUAAAAGAUGUUACUGCUUCUGUGGGAUUUGAACACAUCUUUGUUGUAGUUUCAUGAUUCAAAGUCACAUGUUUAGCCAACGCACCACUAGGCUUUUAUAUUGUUUGAACCUCAUUUUAGGUUAGACACAAGUAAGUUUAAAACUCUCUAUAUUUGAUUCAGUACUUUCACACCCAAAGGUAAACAAUCCUCUGUACCACAAAGAUUGUGUUUAAGGCACUGUCGUUUUUUUGGUCUUUUACACUAGCAUUUACUACUAUCAGUUUAAUUAUUUGUCAUUUAAACCUCAAC